This 1541-nucleotide ribosomal RNA is filed under the name Salmonella enterica subsp. enterica serovar Derby. Its description in RNAcentral is "bacterial SSU rRNA". It matches the Rfam family "Bacterial small subunit ribosomal RNA". RNAcentral also lists the same sequence under 1 other name. Lineage: Bacteria; Pseudomonadati; Pseudomonadota; Gammaproteobacteria; Enterobacterales; Enterobacteriaceae. The record is from RNAcentral.
AAAUUGAAGAGUUUGAUCAUGGCUCAGAUUGAACGCUGGCGGCAGGCCUAACACAUGCAAGUCGAACGGUAACAGGAAGCAGCUUGCUGCUUCGCUGACGAGUGGCGGACGGGUGAGUAAUGUCUGGGAAACUGCCUGAUGGAGGGGGAUAACUACUGGAAACGGUGGCUAAUACCGCAUAACGUCGCAAGACCAAAGAGGGGGACCUUCGGGCCUCUUGCCAUCAGAUGUGCCCAGAUGGGAUUAGCUUGUUGGUGAGGUAACGGCUCACCAAGGCGACGAUCCCUAGCUGGUCUGAGAGGAUGACCAGCCACACUGGAACUGAGACACGGUCCAGACUCCUACGGGAGGCAGCAGUGGGGAAUAUUGCACAAUGGGCGCAAGCCUGAUGCAGCCAUGCCGCGUGUAUGAAGAAGGCCUUCGGGUUGUAAAGUACUUUCAGCGGGGAGGAAGGUGUUGUGGUUAAUAACCGCAGCAAUUGACGUUACCCGCAGAAGAAGCACCGGCUAACUCCGUGCCAGCAGCCGCGGUAAUACGGAGGGUGCAAGCGUUAAUCGGAAUUACUGGGCGUAAAGCGCACGCAGGCGGUCUGUCAAGUCGGAUGUGAAAUCCCCGGGCUCAACCUGGGAACUGCAUUCGAAACUGGCAGGCUUGAGUCUUGUAGAGGGGGUAGAAUUCCAGGUGUAGCGGUGAAAUGCGUAGAGAUCUGGAGGAAUACCGGUGGCGAAGGCGGCCCCCUGGACAAAGACUGACGCUCAGGUGCGAAAGCGUGGGGAGCAAACAGGAUUAGAUACCCUGGUAGUCCACGCCGUAAACGAUGUCUACUUGGAGGUUGUGCCCUUGAGGCGUGGCUUCCGGAGCUAACGCGUUAAGUAGACCGCCUGGGGAGUACGGCCGCAAGGUUAAAACUCAAAUGAAUUGACGGGGGCCCGCACAAGCGGUGGAGCAUGUGGUUUAAUUCGAUGCAACGCGAAGAACCUUACCUGGUCUUGACAUCCACGGAAGUUUUCAGAGAUGAGAAUGUGCCUUCGGGAACCGUGAGACAGGUGCUGCAUGGCUGUCGUCAGCUCGUGUUGUGAAAUGUUGGGUUAAGUCCCGCAACGAGCGCAACCCUUAUCCUUUGUUGCCAGCGGUUAGGCCGGGAACUCAAAGGAGACUGCCAGUGAUAAACUGGAGGAAGGUGGGGAUGACGUCAAGUCAUCAUGGCCCUUACGACCAGGGCUACACACGUGCUACAAUGGCGCAUACAAAGAGAAGCGACCUCGCGAGAGCAAGCGGACCUCAUAAAGUGCGUCGUAGUCCGGAUUGGAGUCUGCAACUCGACUCCAUGAAGUCGGAAUCGCUAGUAAUCGUGGAUCAGAAUGCCACGGUGAAUACGUUCCCGGGCCUUGUACACACCGCCCGUCACACCAUGGGAGUGGGUUGCAAAAGAAGUAGGUAGCUUAACCUUCGGGAGGGCGCUUACCACUUUGUGAUUCAUGACUGGGGUGAAGUCGUAACAAGGUAACCGUAGGGGAACCUGCGGUUGGAUCACCUCCUUA